GGGGUUGUGGCUUAGUGGUAGAGCGCUUGCCUCGCAUGUGGGAGGUACUGGGUUCGAUCCUCAGCAUCACGU
This is a non-coding RNA of Ictidomys tridecemlineatus (thirteen-lined ground squirrel), 72 nucleotides long. The record is from Rfam. NCBI's taxonomy places the organism in Eukaryota, Metazoa, Chordata, Mammalia, Rodentia, Sciuridae.